CGGGUCGAGGCUAGCGGCCCCUUCAGUGUUACCCGCGGAAUGGCUGCCGAGUACCACGUCGCCCAGCCAUAGACUGUUUUAAUGGCGAAAAAUAAUUCCAAACCCAUAUGUGAUCCAAACCCUCUUCUUUCGUGCCAAGAUGUCCUAUCUGUACCAAGUUCAGGAGAUCUUAGGUUCUAUGCAUUGUCAGCCAAAGAGUGUGUAGACGACUGCCCGGUCAGUCCACUCUGUGUUUCUUCUUCAGGGAGCUCGGAUUCAGAGGCCUUCUCUCUCAUAGUCAAGUGUUGUGUAGGUGGUGAGUUGUGCACCAGGAUGGACAGCCACUGUGAAGCACACCAGGCCGACGCGGUCACAAACUUGCCAAAUCCUGAGUUUCCUACCAACAAAGUGCCUGAUACCUCUACAGAUGUGGAGACCUUUGGCAUGGUGUGUGAAGCACAAAGUGAAAGGGAUGUGGACCACAAAAGUAGCAGCAGCCAGAGCAUUUUAAGUGCUGAUGACACUGCCAAUGUGGCAGCUAAUGAAAUAAGCAGCACGCCAGUAUCAGCAGCUGGCCGUGAGUCCCCAGUUACAGAUGGUGAGGCGGAUGGGGCUGGAGCUGACCCAUACUUGCCUUGCCAACCUGUUGAAUCUUUGUCUGUGAUAUUCAGCUCCACGCCGUUACGUGGUCACAUCUCCGUUGUCGAUGCUUGCGUCGGCAGUGGAGAUGAGGAGCCCAAGGGCACCUCGGGGCCCAGCCGUCCGUCCUCGACCACUGCCCCUGGGUCCCCUGGGCUGGGGGGGUCCCCUGGGGAAACACCUGUGACCCCCUCUGGCCAGCAAGGUGUUGUGACAGUAAGAGCAGCAUCAAGCCAUUGUUGUGUAGGUGGGGCUGUGGCUUCCUGUACCACACAUGCGCUGCACAACACCUCUCAGCCAACCCAGCAGCCAUCACCAGCUGCAGCACACACACCUGCACAGGCCAGUCUCAACAUUCCUGGCUCAAUGGCCAACAAUAAUGCCAAUAGCCAACUCCAGGGUAGCAACCCUAGCUUUAACCAGGAGACAAAGCAGGCUAUAGCCAGCUUACUCCAAAUAAGUGCAACCUGCAACCAAUACGCUUCAUUUCCUACUUCAUCAAAAUUCCAGGCUGCAGGCAAGCCUGGAAAAUUUGGUUUUGCUUCCUUCCCCCAUGGCUUUAUUAAAGUUAAUAAGUGGGGCAUUCCACGUGGCUUGGGUCUCAUAGGCGGGGGGGAGAGUGCAGCCAAUGGGUGGGGUGGAUCAGCCCCCCAAACGGCUGGGUGGGGUAGCUCUGGUGCCAACCAGUCCGGUUCACAGAGCCAGUGGGGUGGAGGUCCCAGUCGGGGUGGAGGGGCCCCCAACACAUCACCUGCCCAGGGAGGUAACCUCAAGCCAGCACAGCAAACUAGUGGCCCUGCCCAGCAGCCCAGUUCUCCAGCAGGCCAGCAGAACACACAGACUGGAGGAACUGUAGGGCAGCAGGGACCAACAGGAGUCAGUCAGCAGCAAACUCAGCAGGGUACCAGCGGACAAGGAGGCAGUAGUAAUAACACUUGGGCACAAGCUGCAGGGAAAGGUCUUCCAGCUGGUAGUGGGUCGGGGGAUGCUCAAAAACGUCACAUGGAGCAGCAACUGCAGAGUAUCAGGGAAGCAUUGCUCAGCAGUGAAGGAUGGGGUGGAGAAAAUGUGAACCAGGAUACCUCGUGGGACCUUCCAGGAUCACCAGAACCUGGUAAAGAUUCAAGUGCACCCCAUUUUAAGCUUAAUGUCAACAACGGAUGUGACCUCUGGGAAAACAAUUUAAGGAAUGGUGGGGCAGCCCCUCCCAAAGCUCAGCAGGCUCCUUGGGGUCAUACACCGGCCACUAAUUAUGGUGGUACAUGGGGAGAGGAUGACGAUGCAACAGAUUCCUCUAAUGUUUGGACUGGUGUUCCACCCAAUAAUCCUCAGUGGGGAGCCAACACACCUAAUCCUCCUAAUAUGUGGGCUGGUGGUGCACCUCCAAAGAAAAAUAUUGAUUGGAGCGGAGGCGGCGGUGGCAGUGGUGGAGGAGGAGGAAGUGGUGGUGCUGGGUGGGGAGAACAUGGGCCACAGAGAUCUGGUAUUGAAAAUCCUCCCAGUGAAUGGGGACCUGGGGGCCCUCACAAACCAGGACCUCAUGUUGGACACACUGGUCCACACACAGGCCCUCACCCUGGCCCCCACAGUGGUCCACAUGGUGGUCCACAUAGUGGCCCUCACUCAGGUCCACAUACAGGUCCUCACCCUGGCUCUCACAAUGGUCCUCAUGGUGGACCACACAACGGCCCACAUGGUGGACCUCAUGGUGCACCCCACAGUGGACCUCAUGGUGGCCCUCACAAUGGACCUCAUGGUGGACCUCAUAGUGGCCCCCACGGUGGCCUUACUCACGGUGUUCCUCCCGGUGGCCCAGGAGGUCCAGCACAAUGGAAUGGUCCUAAAGACAUGAAGCCAGGUGGACCAAGUGGACCAAGUGGUUGGGAGGAACCUUCACCGCCCUCACAACGACGGGAUGAUGGUACAGCUGUGUGGGGCAAUCCACAGCAACAAGCCAAUGUGUCUCGGUGGAAGGAUAUGCCUACUCCCAACAUGAUGGGUAGGCCAGGCAUACCCGGGCCACAGCAGGGACGUAUGCAGGGACCGCCAGUUCCUGCGGGAAUUAAGCCAGAUCAGCGAAUGUGGGGACAACACCCGAGAAAUGGCAGCUGGAGUGACCCCCCUCACGAUACGGGUAGUGGCAUGUGGGGGGAGGAGCCAAAAUCAGGUGGAUGGGGUGAACCACAAAUUACAUCACCAUCAUGGGGCACAAAACCGAAAACCCCAACAGGGGGCCCUGGUGCUCCAGUUGGUUGGGGUGAAUCGGACAUGGAACUUCAAGGCUGGGGACACCAAAAUAAGAUGAGUGGUUACCCUCCUCUGCUUGAUCUCAGAUCUCCCAAAGCUCUCAUACCUGAGUCCCACUUCCCAUUUGGUAUGAGUGGUUACCCUCCUCUGCUUGAUCUCAGAUCUCCCAAAGCUCUCAUACCUGAGUCCCACUUCCCAUUUGGUGUUCCUAAGGGUCUCUCAAAAGAAAUUAUCUACAACAGCAAGCAAUUUCGUACACUCCUGGACAUGGGUUAUAAGAAGGAAGACAUUGAAGCUGCGCUUCGCAACAAUAAUAUGGGUCUGGACGACACUCUAAUGGAGCUUGGCAACCGUGGGAUAACAGGUGGUGGCGGUGGAAGCGAUGCCUGGCGCAACCCUCCUUUGGAAGAACAUAUUCCUUUCGACAUUAAUAACCCCAACUUCCAGAAUCGCUUCCCUCCAGCGCCUCACCCCCUGCCAUUCACUUCACAACAGGGUGGAUCUGGCAACUCUCCGCAUGUUCGUGCUCUCAUGAAUCACAUCCAGAUGGCAGUGCAGGCGGGCUACCUCAACCCCCAGAUCCUGAACCAACCCCUGGCUCCCACCACACUUGUGCUCCUCAAUAAUAUGCUCUCCCACAUUAACGUGCUUCAGAAGUUCUCCCAGCAGCAAACCAUCUGGCAAGCUCAGGCUCACAUCAACAAAAAUUCUUCACAAACUCUACUUCAGCUCAACAUUAAUAUCACUAAAACUAAGCAACAGAUCCAAAACCUACAGAAUCAGAUAGCUGCCCAGCAGGCCCUGUAUGUGAAGCAGCAGCAACAGCAUCACCACCAGCAACUUCAUUCUCAUGUGACUGGUGGCCCCCCUGGUACUCAAAAUGACUUCUUCAACAAGCCCAGUCUUCCAGAUCCACUGUAUGGUAGCUUCAAUCCCAUGUCCGUCAAUGAACCUACUGCAAUAAACAUUGGGCAACAAGGAAGCCGUCUGCAGCAGUGGAAGCUGCCGUCUCUGGAAAAUGAUGACAAUGAUUUCAUCCGUGCUCCAGGAGCCCCAGGAAAACCUGCCAUGCCACAGUCUCAUUCAUCUCCAAACUUAACACCCCUGCUGGGAGUAUCAAAUAGUACCUGGUCUCUUAAUCGCACAUCUGAGACUGGGUGGCCGGAGAGUAACAGCGGAGGCAAUGACAACAGUAGUGGCGUUGUCGAGAAAGGGGUGCCAAACAUGGACACGCAGUGGGUUGCUUCCUCACAGGCUAAUGCCUCUGGGUCCUAUGGCCUUGACAUUAAGCCUUUUGAACCAGGAAAACCAUGGAUGAUGAAGAAUAUUGAGGAUGACCCAAAUAUAACGCCGGGUUCAGUGACACGUUCUCCUUUGUCCUUGGGCAUCAAGGACUCGGAGUUGUUGUCAUCCAUCACCAAGACCCCGACCACCAACACUGUUUCAGAAAUGACCAGCCACCUCACCUCCCUUUCCCUUUCCACCAACACCUGGAGCUUCAACCCAGGACCCGGCCACCACACCACCAACUCUCCGUUGUCAGGAUUGAUGGUUCUACCCUGAAGACACUGUGCAUGCAGCACGGGCCGCUGGUCAACUUCUACCUAUCUCUCAACCACGGCUUUGCACUCGUCAACUACGGCUCACGAGAGGAGGCUGCUAAGGCACAAGGAAAUCUCAAUAAUUGCCUGUUGAGCAACACUACAAUCCUGGCUGAGUUCGCUAAUGAUAGUGAAGUUAAACAGGUUAUGGGCCAGCAAACCCACCAGGGUCAAGGUGCCCCACCUACUCCUGCCCCAU
RNAcentral lists this unclassified non-coding RNA (4665 nucleotides) under Homarus americanus (American lobster). RNAcentral describes it as "protein Gawky-like, transcript variant X7". Lineage: Eukaryota; Metazoa; Arthropoda; Malacostraca; Decapoda; Nephropidae. The record is from RNAcentral.